Molecule: long non-coding RNA, 1798 nt
Filed under: Phasianus colchicus (ring-necked pheasant)
Lineage: Eukaryota; Metazoa; Chordata; Aves; Galliformes; Phasianidae
Description: lncRNA (ENSPCLG00000019883.1)
Source: RNAcentral
AUGAUCUUAAAGGUCCCUUCCAACCCAAACCAUUCUGUGAAUUCUGUGAGUGUAUUAUUUUGGGUGAAUGUCCUCCCAGACUUUAACAGGCAUCUGUCAGCACACACAGCCUUGCUCAACAAUUCCGACGUGUUACCAACUUCCACAGAAAACAUACAGAGCCUGAAAGCUGCUGGCGAGCGGCGGGCAAGGAGCAGUCCGCAGAGGAUGGCGGUGGGCAGCCCAGCCACGCUUAUCGCUCGACAGCAUCGCCGACUCCGCAGAAAAGGGCCUAAAUCCGAGGGGUGGCAGCGACCGGACGGAGCCAAAGACCGCAGCAGCCGGGCCGAGCCCAGAUGCCAGGCCGGCCCCUCCGCUCCUGAGGCACACCCUAUCCCGCCCCGUCCCUCCCGCCAGGGCACAGGGGUCCGCCGCGACAUCGCCUCCCACCUCAGCUACCUCCCUCCCGGCGCAGACGGCCCCGCAGCACCGCGCUCCAUUACCUGUCGGCCUCCCGCAGGGCCCUGCCCCCCGCACUGCGGCCCCCGCCGCCCGCACAUCCGCCCCCUCCUGCGCCCACCGCAGCGCUCACAGCCACUUCCGCCCCGCCACUUCCGCUCGCUGCCGGAAGGGGCGGGCGCAGUCACCAUGGCGACGACGGUGUUCGGCCGUGGGCGGGAACGGACUGUCGGCGUUGCCAUGGAGACGGCAGGGCGGAAUUUAUCAGCCCCGCCCCUCGGUGGGCUGCCCCUGCGAACGGCGAAAAAUAGGUGGAGACCUUGUAUCGAAACAGAAGAGAGACCAGAAAUUGGAGAAACACCUACGUGGCUUAGACAUGAAAUGGGUGCUGAGCUUCUCAGAGCUGUCAGGAUUGCAUUUCUUCUGAGGAUUCCCGGAUGGAGCGUUCUAGGCAUCAGCAGACCAGCUUUUUGAUACCAGAGUUCAUCUGUACAUUUUCUUCUCCGGACUGAAUAGAUACUGAAUGGUGAUUUCGCUGGGCUUCACUUCCAAUUAACACAUCCAGAAAAGCAGUUGGGACACAUCCAUAAGAAGAUGCAGGCACUUAAGGGAAAUCUGGAUUUUUAUUAUUAAUUAAUUUUAAGUGCAGUAAAAUUAAUCAAUGAUCAAUGAAAUUUAUACUUGAAAGCAGGACCCUUUGGUUUCUCAAGCUCAGAAAGAACCAGUAUUUUAUUAUUCUUUCUCCCUCAGAAUGAUAAUUUUUUUCAAAAUGCUUCUUUUUUAAGUCAAUUUAAAACUUUGUUCAGUAAGAUUAAUAUUGGUGCGCAUUGGUUUUUUUAAGUAGUUCUGAAAAGAAAUCAGAUUAAAUAUUGCUACACUGACAUAGCAUGGAAAAAAUCACCUGUUAAGAAAGCCAAGUGUCCUUCUGAUGUAACUUUGUUUUAUAUACCAGAUCAUAAUUUUGAUUGAGAAUAUUCUUAUUUCCAGCCAUUGGAAGCUUCUGCUUUUCAGCUUUAUGAGCCUCAAGUAUGUCUAUUAAGAAGAAAAUUGAUUCAAAGCCAUUUUUUGUUUUGUUGCGUUCCAACUAGAAUACAAUCACUGCAUCUUUUUGUGUAGAUAAUCCAGAAAGCUUUCUUAUGGGAAUUUGCUUCCUGUUCAAUUUGGCUUUUUGUCUUCUCUUGUUCAUUUGUUGUUAUUGGUUUACAGUAUGCUGUAAAUGAUAAAGACUCCAACGCCUUGAGCUGAUUCUAAAAAUCAAGAGUAUUUGGCCCUUUCUUACAUGAACAAAGCCAAUUUGUUCCAUUGUGAUUGAUCUGUAAUUUCCUUUUAUAUUUUAAAAUAAAUGUCUUAUCAGUACUCA